UAAUACGUAGGGGGCAAGCGUUGUCCGGAAUUAUUGGGCGUAAAGCGCGCGCAGGCGGUCUUUUAAGUCUGGUGUUUAAGUGCGGGGCUCAACCCCGUGACGCACUGGAAACUGGGAGACUUGAGUGCAGAAGAGGAGAGCGGAAUUCCACGUGUAGCGGUGAAAUGCGUAGAGAUGUGGAGGAACACCAGUGGCGAAGGCGGCUCUCUGGACUGUAACUGACGCUGAGGCGCGAAAGCGUGGGGAGCAAACAGGAUUAGAUACCCUGGUAGUCCACGCCGUAAACGAUGAGUGCUAGGUGUUGAGGGGGUCCACCCCUCGGUGCCGAAGUUAACACAUUAAGCACUCCGCCUGGGGAGUACGGUCGCAAGACUGAA
This 377-nucleotide ribosomal RNA is filed under the name uncultured bacterium. RNAcentral's name for it is "bacterial SSU rRNA". It matches the Rfam family "Bacterial small subunit ribosomal RNA", at positions 521 to 898 of the family's 1533-position model. The record is from RNAcentral.